AGUGAACGCUGGCGGCAGGCCUAACACAUGCAAGUCGAGCGGCAGCGGGUUCCCGCGAGGGGAUGCCGGCGAGCGGCGGACGGGUGAGGAACACAUCGGAAUCGUGCCUGGUUGUGGGGGAUAACGUAGGGAAACUUACGCUAAUACCGCAUGCGACCCUGAGUCGACGGACUGGGGGUGAAAGUGAGGGACCUUCGGGCCUCACGCGACCAGAUGAGCCGAUGUCGGAUUAGCUAGUUGGCGGGGUAACGGCCCGCCAAGGCGACGAUCCGUAGCUGGUCUGAGAGGA
This 289-nucleotide ribosomal RNA is filed under the name uncultured bacterium. RNAcentral's name for it is "partial 16S ribosomal RNA". It matches the Rfam family "Bacterial small subunit ribosomal RNA", at positions 30 to 300 of the family's 1533-position model. The record is from RNAcentral.